CCCUAGUAACGGCGAGUGAAGCGGGAAGAGCUCAAAUUUGGAAUCUGGUGUCUACGACAUCCGAAUUGUCAUCUCGAGAAGCAGAUUUUGGGUCAAGGGAAACGUGAGUCUGUUGGAACACAGCGUCAAAGAGGGUGACAACCCCGUUCGUCGUUUCUCAUUCUGAUCCUCUAGGAAUCGCUUUCGACGAGUCGAGUUGUUUGGGAAUGCAGCUCCAAGUGGGUGGUAAAUUCCAUCUAAAGCUAAAUAUUGGCGAGAGACCGAUAGCGAACAAGUACCGUGAGGGAAAGAUGAAAAGCACUUUGGAAAGAGAGUUAACAGACGUGAAAUUGUUGAAAGGGAAACGAUUAACGUCAGCCUCGCGUGUCUCCUUCAGCCUACGUUGGUGGGUGUAUUGGAGACGAGCGGGCCAGCGUCGGUGGAGUGGGCUGUAAAAGGCGGUGAGGAAUGUAGCAUCUUCGGGUGUGUUUAUAGCCUCACUGUGGAUGCAGACCGUUCCACCGAGGGACGCCCUUCCUCGCUAGUUUCGACUUGAGGACGGAUGGACGCUGGCAGAAUGGCGUUAAGCGACCCGU
Molecule: ribosomal RNA, 575 nt
Filed under: uncultured fungus
Lineage: Eukaryota; Fungi
Description: eukaryotic LSU rRNA
Rfam family: Eukaryotic large subunit ribosomal RNA
Source: RNAcentral